AAUUGCUUAUCGGUCACGCAGUUCAACUUCACGAAUUAUCGGCACCAGCACAGACAUAUUUUAGAUUUGUGGAGAAAUCUAUCCAUCUGGCUUACAUAUAUAUUCACAGUAUUGUGUUUCUUAAUGGCGAUCGGUAUGGCAAUAUAUCCGUUGGCAUUCAGUAACACGUUUACAGUGAUGAAAAAUCAUGACGUGUCGUCCAGCACAUAUGGCCAAAACGUUCUAAAUUUGUAUUUACUCUUCCUUGAAGAAACAUACAACACAUGCUUCAAUGUAUUUUACAUCAUCGAAAUAUUUUGCAAUACCGUUAUAUUGAUUUGCAUUGUUAUUUUUGAUACCAUUUUGAUUACGCUAUGCUUAGCACUAACCUGUCAGUUUCAAAUUAUUUGCAGCUCGUUCGAAUUGGUCGGACAUAAAUCAUAUCACUCCUCAAAUAAUUGCACUGAUAACGUGGUCAGGAAAUUACGUACUAAUAAAUAUAAUUUUAAUGUUUACAAAUUUACAAUGACUUAUUAACAACUAUAAUAGACCAUCAAAAAGUUAUGAAGAAAUAUGAUGAAUUUUUAAUAUUUCGAACGAUAAAUUUACUAGAAUUGUGGAGUGUAUCCAGUUCAAUCAU
Long non-coding RNA from Myzus persicae (green peach aphid), 619 nucleotides. RefSeq lists it as uncharacterized. NCBI's taxonomy places the organism in Eukaryota, Metazoa, Arthropoda, Insecta, Hemiptera, Aphididae. The record is from RefSeq and is a predicted model, not a curated record. The transcript has 3 exons.